UGUCCUUGGGACAAUGCAUAGUAAUUCCCUUGCAUCCCAUUGCUAUCCCUAGUAGCUGCACCAUUUUGUGCCAGGGUCACUCAACAGCUCGUCUGGCUUCAGGGGAAUUAAAGCCUGCCUGGGAUGUAUCCAGAUGAUAAAAGAAUCAGAUUGCUUGGAGGGAUUUCAGUGGUGAUGGUGAUGUCUGCUGUUGAAAUGGUUCCUCUGACAGUAGUUUGCUCUCCCAACAGCUUCUUGAGCCAUGGUUCUUCUCUGACAAGGAGUGGGAGAGAGAUAGGGUCUUGCAGGUCAGCUCCCAGCUGCUUGUCACCUAUCGGGAGACAGUCUAUUGCAGACUGCAAGAGCCUUUUGAGCAAUUUGGGUCCCUGCUGGGGCUGCUGGUGCCCUACACCUGCACCACUCUGGCCACAUCCCACCUGUGGGCCGCUGAGUGCAUUGCCUGCUUUCUCCACCUACAAGAUCAGGGCACUCUGAGCCAGUCCAUGACCAUGGAUGCAGUGGAGGAGAAGCUGAGAGGUCUCCAUGAGGAGCUCAAAGCCUAGAGUCCUGAGGCCUGUGCUUAUAGCAUCCUCCCACAUGGCAAAGGUCACUGGCAAAUACUUUCCAUUCAACCAGGCCCUUGACUUUGUGGGGAGCAUAAUGGAUGGCAUGGUGUCUGCCAGCCUCAUGUGUGCCACAGCAGCAGGACAUUAGUUCAUUACAAUCCUUAGGAAACAUGGAUGUCCUUCUGAAUGAGGUAAAAUUGAAGCUGAGGAGGCUUUCUGCAUUUGCUUUAUGCUUUUUAAACACUGCUUUCAUGUGGAGUGAACAGCAAUCUUACUGUUGAUCCCUGGACACGAAGCAAGUUCUAUUUCCCUUACUAGCCAGAGAUGGGGAAGAGCAGAUCAGCUGCAUCCAAGAGAAAGAGCACAGGAAGGCAAGAUGGGGA
Molecule: long non-coding RNA, 928 nt
Organism: Alligator mississippiensis (American alligator)
Lineage: Eukaryota; Metazoa; Chordata; Crocodylia; Alligatoridae
Exons: 4
Source: RefSeq, a predicted model, not a curated record